RNAcentral lists this ribosomal RNA (2802 nucleotides) under Escherichia coli. Its description in RNAcentral is "partial 23S ribosomal RNA". Lineage: Bacteria; Pseudomonadati; Pseudomonadota; Gammaproteobacteria; Enterobacterales; Enterobacteriaceae. The record is from RNAcentral.
GGGUUGUGAGGUUAAGCGACUAAGCGUACACGGUGGAUGCCCUGGCAGUCAGAGGCGAUGAAGGACGUGCUAAUCUGCGAUAAGCGUCGGUAAGGUGAUAUGAACCGUUAUAACCGGCGAUUUCCGAAUGGGGAAACCCAGUGUGUUUCGACACACUAUCAUUAACUGAAUCCAUAGGUUAAUGAGGCGAACCGGGGGAACUGAAACAUCUAAGUACCCCGAGGAAAAGAAAUCAACCGAGAUUCCCCCAGUAGCGGCGAGCGAACGGGGAGCAGCCCAGAGCCUGAAUCAGUGUGUGUGUUAGUGGAAGCGUCUGGAAAGGCGCGCGAUACAGGGUGACAGCCCCGUACACAAAAAUGCACAUGCUGUGAGCUCGAUGAGUAGGGCGGGACACGUGGUAUCCUGUCUGAAUAUGGGGGGACCAUCCUCCAAGGCUAAAUACUCCUGACUGACCGAUAGUGAACCAGUACCGUGAGGGAAAGGCGAAAAGAACCCCGGCGAGGGGAGUGAAAAAGAACCUGAAACCGUGUACGUACAAGCAGUGGGAGCACGCUUAGGCGUGUGACUGCGUACCUUUUGUAUAAUGGGUCAGCGACUUAUAUUCUGUAGCAAGGUUAACCGAAUAGGGGAGCCGAAGGGAAACCGAGUCUUAACUGGGCGUUAAGUUGCAGGGUAUAGACCCGAAACCCGGUGAUCUAGCCAUGGGCAGGUUGAAGGUUGGGUAACACUAACUGGAGGACCGAACCGACUAAUGUUGAAAAAUUAGCGGAUGACUUGUGGCUGGGGGUGAAAGGCCAAUCAAACCGGGAGAUAGCUGGUUCUCCCCGAAAGCUAUUUAGGUAGCGCCUCGUGAAUUCAUCUCCGGGGGUAGAGCACUGUUUCGGCAAGGGGGUCAUCCCGACUUACCAACCCGAUGCAAACUGCGAAUACCGGAGAAUGUUAUCACGGGAGACACACGGCGGGUGCUAACGUCCGUCGUGAAGAGGGAAACAACCCAGACCGCCAGCUAAGGUCCCAAAGUCAUGGUUAAGUGGGAAACGAUGUGGGAAGGCCCAGACAGCCAGGAUGUUGGCUUAGAAGCAGCCAUCAUUUAAAGAAAGCGUAAUAGCUCACUGGUCGAGUCGGCCUGCGCGGAAGAUGUAACGGGGCUAAACCAUGCACCGAAGCUGCGGCAGCGACGCUUAUGCGUUGUUGGGUAGGGGAGCGUUCUGUAAGCCUGCGAAGGUGUGCUGUGAGGCAUGCUGGAGGUAUCAGAAGUGCGAAUGCUGACAUAAGUAACGAUAAAGCGGGUGAAAAGCCCGCUCGCCGGAAGACCAAGGGUUCCUGUCCAACGUUAAUCGGGGCAGGGUGAGUCGACCCCUAAGGCGAGGCCGAAAGGCGUAGUCGAUGGGAAACAGGUUAAUAUUCCUGUACUUGGUGUUACUGCGAAGGGGGGACGGAGAAGGCUAUGUUGGCCGGGCGACGGUUGUCCCGGUUUAAGCGUGUAGGCUGGUUUUCCAGGCAAAUCCGGAAAAUCAAGGCUGAGGCGUGAUGACGAGGCACUACGGUGCUGAAGCAACAAAUGCCCUGCUUCCAGGAAAAGCCUCUAAGCAUCAGGUAACAUCAAAUCGUACCCCAAACCGACACAGGUGGUCAGGUAGAGAAUACCAAGGCGCUUGAGAGAACUCGGGUGAAGGAACUAGGCAAAAUGGUGCCGUAACUUCGGGAGAAGGCACGCUGAUAUGUAGGUGAGGUCCCUCGCGGAUGGAGCUGAAAUCAGUCGAAGAUACCAGCUGGCUGCAACUGUUUAUUAAAAACACAGCACUGUGCAAACACGAAAGUGGACGUAUACGGUGUGACGCCUGCCCGGUGCCGGAAGGUUAAUUGAUGGGGUUAGCGCAAGCGAAGCUCUUGAUCGAAGCCCCGGUAAACGGCGGCCGUAACUAUAACGGUCCUAAGGUAGCGAAAUUCCUUGUCGGGUAAGUUCCGACCUGCACGAAUGGCGUAAUGAUGGCCAGGCUGUCUCCACCCGAGACUCAGUGAAAUUGAACUCGCUGUGAAGAUGCAGUGUACCCGCGGCAAGACGGAAAGACCCCGUGAACCUUUACUAUAGCUUGACACUGAACAUUGAGCCUUGAUGUGUAGGAUAGGUGGGAGGCUUAGAAGUGUGGACGCCAGUCUSCAUGGAGCCGACCUUGAAAUACCACCCUUUAAUGUUUGAUGUUCUAACGUUGACCCGUAAUCCGGGUUGCGGACAGUGUCUGGUGGGUAGUUUGACUGGGGCGGUCUCCUCCUAAAGAGUAACGGAGGAGCACGAAGGUUGGCUAAUCCUGGUCGGACAUCAGGAGGUUAGUGCAAUGGCAUAAGCCAGCUUGACUGCGAGCGUGACGGCGCGAGCAGGUGCGAAAGCAGGUCAUAGUGAUCCGGUGGUUCUGAAUGGAAGGGCCAUCGCUCAACGGAUAAAAGGUACUCCGGGGAUAACAGGCUGAUACCGCCCAAGAGUUCAUAUCGACGGCGGUGUUUGGCACCUCGAUGUCGGCUCAUCACAUCCUGGGGCUGAAGUAGGUCCCAAGGGUAUGGCUGUUCGCCAUUUAAAGUGGUACGCGAGCUGGGUUUAGAACGUCGUGAGACAGUUCGGUCCCUAUCUGCCGUGGGCGCUGGAGAACUGAGGGGGGCUGCUCCUAGUACGAGAGGACCGGAGUGGACGCAUCACUGGUGUUCGGGUUGUCAUGCCAAUGGCACUGCCCGGUAGCUAAAUGCGGAAGAGAUAAGUGCUGAAAGCAUCUAAGCACGAAACUUGCCCCGAGAUGAGUUCUCCCUGAC